This 367-nucleotide ribosomal RNA is filed under the name uncultured bacterium. Its description in RNAcentral is "bacterial SSU rRNA". It matches the Rfam family "Bacterial small subunit ribosomal RNA", at positions 917 to 1289 of the family's 1533-position model. The record is from RNAcentral.
GGGCCCGCACAAGCGGUGGAGCAUGUGGUUUAAUUCGAUGAUACGCGAGGAACCUUACCAGGGCUUAAAUGUUAGGUGACAGAUCUAGAAAUAGAUUUUCUUCGGACACUUAACAAGGUGCUGCAUGGUUGUCGUCAGCUCGUGCCGUGAGGUGUCAGGUUAAGUCCUAUAACGAGCGCAACCCCCAUCGUUAGUUGCCAACGAGUAAUGUCGGGAACUCUAACGAAACUGCCGGUGCAAACCGUGAGGAAGGUGGGAUGACGUCAAAUCAUCACGGCCCUUACGUCCUGGGCUACACACGUGCUACAAUGGUCGGUACAGAGAGCAGCCACUACGCGAGUAGGAGCAAAUCUUCAAAGCCGAUCUC